AGAGUUUGAUCAUGGCUCAGGAUAAACGCUGGCGGCGUGCCUAAUGCAUGCAAGUCGCACGGGGAGCACUUUCGGGUGCUUCGAGUGGCGAACGGGUGAGGAACACGUGGCCGACCUACCCCGGCGUGGGGGAUACCCGCCAGAAAUGGCGGCUAAUACCGCGUACGGUCGCACUUCUGUGGGAGGUGCGAAGAAAGCCGUAAGGCGCGCUGGGAGGGGGCUGCGGCCGAUUAGCUAGUUGGCGGGGUAACGGCCCACCAAGGCGAUGAUCGGUAGCGGGUCUGAGAGGAUGAUCCGCCACACGGGGACUGAGACACGGCCCCGACUCCUACGGGAGGCAGCAGCAAGGGAUUUUCCGCAAUGGGGGCAACCCUGACGGAGCAACGCCGCGUGCGGGACGACGCCUCUUGGGGUGUAAACCGCUUUUGCCGAGGACGAGAACGGACGGUGCUCGGCGAAUAAGGACCGGCUAACUACGUGCCAGCAGCCGCGGUAAUACGUAGGGUCCGAGCGUUGUCCGGAGUGACUGGGCGUAAAGCGCGCGCAGGCGGCCCCUCAGGCACGACGUGAAAGCCCCGGGCUCAACCCGGGAGGGUCGUCGUGAACCGUGGGGCUUGAGGCCGGUAGAGGUGGGUGGAACUCCUGGUGGAGUGGUGAAAUGCGUAGAGAUCAGGAGGAACACCCGUGGCGAAGGCGGCCCACUGGGCCGGUACUGACGCUGAGGCGCGAAGGCGUGGGGAGCGAACGGGAUUAGAUACCCUAGUAGUCC
This 769-nucleotide ribosomal RNA is filed under the name uncultured bacterium. Its description in RNAcentral is "bacterial SSU rRNA". It matches the Rfam family "Bacterial small subunit ribosomal RNA", at positions 8 to 796 of the family's 1533-position model. The record is from RNAcentral.